This 466-nucleotide ribosomal RNA is filed under the name uncultured bacterium. RNAcentral's name for it is "partial 16S ribosomal RNA". It matches the Rfam family "Bacterial small subunit ribosomal RNA", at positions 28 to 507 of the family's 1533-position model. The record is from RNAcentral.
GAUGAACGCUGGCGGCGUGCUUAACACAUGCAAGUCGAACGAUGAAGCCUAGUUUGCCGGGUGGAUUAGUGGCGAACGGGUGAGUAACAAGUGAGUAACCUGCCCUUAACUCUGGGAUAAGCCUGGGAAACUGGGUCUAAUACAGGAUAGGUGCGUACAUCGCACGGUGGGUGUUGGAAAGAUUUAUUGGUUUUGGAUGGACUCGCGUCCUAGCAGCUUGUUGGUGCGGUAAUGGCUCAUCAAGGCGACGAAGGGUAGCCGGCCUGAGAGGGUGACCGGCCACACUGGGACUGGGACACGGCCCGGACUCCAACGUGGGGCAGCGGUGGGGAUUUGUGCGCGAUGGGCGGAAGCCUUGAGCAGCGACGCCGCGUGAGGGAUGACGGCCUUCAGGUUGUAAAGCUCUUUCAGUAGGGAAGAAGCGAAAGUGACGGUACCUGCAGAGGAAGCACCGGCUAACUACGUG